UAGGGAAUCUUCGGCAAUGGACGAAAGUCUGACCGAGCAACGCCGCGUGAGUGAAGAAGGUUUUCGGAUCGUAAAACUCUGUUGGUAGAGAAGAACGUUGGUGAGAGUGGAAAGCUCAUCAAGUGAUGGUAACUACCCAGAAAGGGACGGCUAACUACGUGCCAG
This 165-nucleotide ribosomal RNA is filed under the name uncultured bacterium. RNAcentral describes it as "partial 16S ribosomal RNA". It matches the Rfam family "Bacterial small subunit ribosomal RNA", at positions 355 to 511 of the family's 1533-position model. The record is from RNAcentral.